This 355-nucleotide long non-coding RNA is filed under the name Lathyrus oleraceus (garden pea). RNAcentral's name for it is "Pisum sativum (pea) long non-coding RNA (PSAT_LNC013891)". Lineage: Eukaryota; Viridiplantae; Streptophyta; Magnoliopsida; Fabales; Fabaceae. The record is from RNAcentral.
AAACAAACAAAAGGGUAAAACUAGUAGUUUAGGCUCAGAGUAUGUGUUGUCAUCCUCAUCAUUGUGUUCAAUCGUUCAACUAAGAGGUUUCUUUGGACACCGUUCUUGUUAGGAUUCAUUGACUCUUAUUUUUCUCUUUUUUUUUCAUGCGCUCCUUUGAGCACAUAUUUUGCCAACCUCAAUUUUUCUAGAUAAGUGCUUUAUUUUACUUCUCAACUUUUUCAUUCUUCUUUCUUUUUCUAUUUUUUUUGAAUUUUCACAACUAUAUUUUUCAACCGCACUUAUCUAGUUCUUACCGGUGUCCCAACCCCAAACUUAGAAUUUUCCACAUAUCAACAAUCAACAACACUUAUCC